Long non-coding RNA from Ruditapes philippinarum (Manila clam), 1440 nucleotides. RefSeq lists it as uncharacterized. NCBI's taxonomy places the organism in Eukaryota, Metazoa, Mollusca, Bivalvia, Venerida, Veneridae. The record is from RefSeq and is a predicted model, not a curated record. The transcript is spliced from 2 exons.
UAUGAGAGUAAAUAAUGAAUUUUAGCAUGACAGGCUUUUGAAGUGAUCAUACAUUCAUCUUCUGAGGAUAAGAAUGAUUUUGGUAAAGACAUAGAUGUAAAAGAUGUAGAAUUAGAGAGAUAAAUAAUUGAUUGGGGAGUAAACUGUUCAUGGCUGAUUGUUUGAUGAAAAUAAUCAAUACCAGUCUAGCAUCUCAGUUACAGAACCAGUCACCUACGGAACCAGACAAGGUGGAAAGGGAGGAAACUCAGCUUGAAGAUGAUUUACCACCAGAUAUGGACUAACUGACUUAAAGGAAGCGCUACAUCUUACAUAUAAAAAAAUAUUUCGAUGUUCGAGAAUACAUCUGACUGUUGUACUAAAACUAUCUCGUCAAUUGUUGACUACUAUAGAAGCUAACUUGAUCAAUGUUGAUAACACAGAAAAAUAACACACUUUUUGUGUGGCCUAUGUGAUGAGAGGUUGAGAAUGAUCAAAUAAUAGAAGAGCAUUUCAACAUAUAUUAAAAGUCAAUUGUUAAUUUUGAAGCUUGUGAUGCAUGAAUUAAUAACAAUGUGUUACUUUGAAUAUUACAAUGGAGAAAUGAAUAUCAAAGAGGAAUUGCUACAUAAGGAUUACUAAAGAACUUUAACACUUAAUUAUGCAAAUGAUUGUGUAGUGUUCUCAAAUGUUACUGAAUUGCUGGAUAAUUUCAAUUACUAGUAUAUGCUAUUUGCUGUACAAAAUUUGAGUUCUUUUUUCCCCUCUCUAUACUUGGAGAUUGGAAUUUAAACUUUUAAAGCAGCAAGCCUCCAGAUUUGUGCUAAUUUGCAUUAAAAUUUUGAAAAUGUAUAUAGAAUUAUUAUGUGGUGAAGUGAACAAAGAUAGUUAUUUACACAUUGCAAAAGACACAAUCCACAUAGAGGACAAAAUAAGCAAAAAUAGCCCUUACUGUGUAAGUCAUGAAGCAGAAAUAUGAUGAUCAAUGCUGCAAUAUCAGUCAUUAAUCACACACAACAUGUAAAUUAAUACUGGAAUCUUGAAUAUUUUAACUUUUCUUAAAUUUUUCAUUUUUCUCAAGUUUGUUUUUCUAGAAAUAUUUUGGCUCAUCUGGAGGCAUACAGCUUUAAAAAACCUUACAAGAUCAUAAGACAUUUUCCUAAAGAAACAUGAAGCUUUGUUCGUUAACUAUCAUAUAUUCUUAAUUUCCUCUUUUUUCUGUGCUGAGAACACUUUAUAUUUUUUUGCAACUGCUCACUGUUUUUGUUAUUGUUUUAAGAGACAUUUUCAUGUAUAUAUAAGUGAUUUUUCAUUUAUAAAUUAUAUACUGCUGCAUGUUAAUAUUCAUUUAAAAAUCUCAUGUGAACAUAGUUUUUUUUAUAUUAUAUUUAUAAUAUUCAUAUUUAUUGACCCUGUUCUGUGAUAUGGCAUUCAAAAAAAUAAUAAAAAAAGUUAAUGACA